AAGACUUUAAGUUAAUAUAAACUAAAAACCUUCAAAGUUUUCAAUAGACCCCAUCUAAGUCUUG
Molecule: transfer RNA, 64 nt
Filed under: Amynthas divergens
Lineage: Eukaryota; Metazoa; Annelida; Clitellata; Crassiclitellata; Megascolecidae
Description: tRNA-Trp
Source: RNAcentral